CUUUGCUUGAGCUGGAGAAGAGUGGAUGAUACUCUGAGCUGGCUGCUGGGACUCCACCAGGACAAGGCCUUGAGACUGCAUGACUUGGCCAGAGGGCUGAAUCACCGAAGACCCACCACAAAGAACGAGAGAGUGCAGGCACACACACUCAACCAAGGAGUGCUCACGAGAGAUAAUUACAUUCAGAAAAGGUUUAUUAUUUCAACCUGGAUGCAUCAGCAUUUAUGGAUUGAUAAUCU
Long non-coding RNA from Gopherus evgoodei (Goodes thornscrub tortoise), 239 nucleotides. RefSeq lists it as uncharacterized. The record is from RefSeq and is a predicted model, not a curated record. The transcript is spliced from 3 exons. Lineage: Eukaryota; Metazoa; Chordata; Testudines; Testudinidae.